Molecule: long non-coding RNA, 2209 nt
Organism: Zalophus californianus (California sea lion)
Lineage: Eukaryota; Metazoa; Chordata; Mammalia; Carnivora; Otariidae
Exons: 3
Source: RefSeq, a predicted model, not a curated record
GCAAACAAUGGUCAUUGACAUCUUUUUCUCUACCCCCCACCCCCCGUAAUGGAGGCAAAAAAGGUAAAGGGGGCAGUUGGGUGUUUCUUGAGAAGAUCACCCCCCUUUGCUUUCUCCAUCCUUCCCGCCUCCAUCCCCAGCAGUUACCCCAACCCUCAAGCACCAGAAAUAGAAACUCCGAGGUUGGCGUCGGGGCUUGACGUCAAGGACUCAGCGCUUCUUUCCGUCCAGACCGGAGUUUCCCUAAAGGGACUUUGUAGGAAAGUCCAGCAUAUUUGGGGAGCGGGGAUGUGGUGCUGAUUUGGAGGGGUUGUGCAGGGCUCGCCUGGUCCUCUACAGCGACCAACCCCUCAUUCCCUCCAUCAUCUAAAGUGUUAAAAAAAAAAAAAAGGCUCUUGGGUCCCACCAUAAGAGCGCCUGAAGAGAUGAGGUACAAUAACCAUCCUCUGCCAUUGUAGGACUUCUAAUUUAUGCAUCUUUAGACCCUUAAGCAUCAUUUUGUGGGCAUCCAAACGGGCACUUCCAAAUUAGCUCAAAGUAUCCAAAUCCAAAGAAGAGAGAAAACAUGCACACAGAGACACCCACAAAUACACAGAUACUAACUUGAUUUAUUCUCCUAUCACUACAAUGAUCAAAAAGAAGAGAAAGAAAAAACCCUGAAAACCUAAGUAUUUCUAGCUGUUUGAAAUGGGUCUUUUUGUUGUCAGAAAAUACAUAUUCAAGGAAUAUGAAAUGGAUGCAGAAACCAGGUAAAAAAGAUAGUUUCUCUUGAAAAAUACAAAGCCAUAGAUAAACUGAUUUUUAAAAAACUUUGUCAUUCUUUAAUUUGCAAAUUUAUCUGCAGAGCAAAGAACUUAGACAUUGUGAACUCUCCACCAAAUGCUGAACACGACAAAGAAUAAGACAAAAGAAGUGUGCAAAGCAUAGUGACUAAAUUUUGAAAACAAUCUUGCAGUUAAAAAAAAUGAAAAUGGGAAACAAAGAUACAGUGCUUAAGUUUUCCUGCAUACUGGUGGGGCAGGAGAAAGAAAAACAAGGAGAAUGCUUUCUUAAGCCAUAUUUUAUUGUUUAAAAAGAAGAAGAAAAGGAUGUGUGAAAACCAUUCCAGGUCAACCUAACAGUACAUGUCUUGAAGGCAAGAACAGUGUUACCUAUUCCUUUUCCUGUUUGGUUUUAGCCCUUUGGUUGGAAUGUCUUCCAGAGUUUUGUUCUUACUGUUUUAAUCAUUGUUUUGUUCAUUUCAGUGAGUUUUGCAAAGAAUCUGCCCUCUCUAGGGGUGAGGGGGUGGGAAGGGACCAGUAUGAUCCUCUGUGAGAACAAAGUGUCAACCAGACAAGUGUGUAGAGUAGUAUUUAAAAAUGCUGAAAGAACAAAAGGCAAAGUUACAUGAAUUGUUUGCAGUUGUCAGUUAAUUGACUUAGCAAGGUUAGUAUUGCUACAAUUUUAACAUGAUGCUACUUUUACAGGUCUUUCCUGAACUUGAAAUGUUUGGGCUAGGUCUUCAUCCUCACCUGCAACUGGAAUUGUCUAUUAAUUUUUAAAAAUUGGUGACACACAAAGAAGCAUUUAUGUAUGUACUUAAGUGAUUGCUGGAACACUGAAAACAGCAAUUUGGCUUUUAAAUUUUGGCUUAAUUAAAAUUGUAUUCUUUACUUGUACUGGCUUGAACAAAAAAUAGUAGAAAGACAUUUCAAACUUCUAUCAGAGACAACAAGGUAAGUAAAAAUACUUGUGUGAUGGCAUUUACGGAUAAAAAAGUCCAUGUGAACCAUUAUAUUUUAUUUUUCAAGUUCAAACAUGUCUCAGAAAUGAAACUUAUUGUCAUAUGUUCAUGUCGAUUAGUUACCCAAGUUGAAGAAGUGUUUAUAAUUACAUUUUUUCCAGUUAUUAUUCAGUCUGUUUUCAGGUUAUACAUUUCAUCUUGUGUAAUUUGUUUUAUAGAACUACAGGAUAGCAAUUCACAUCAAGCGGUUAUACUGCAAGUUGUUGCUUAUUUUUUCAGCUGUAUUGAGUCCUGUUACAGGUUCAUUUACAUAUGGAAGGAUCCCGUUUUUAAAUAAAAAAGCACUUUAUCAUAUUUGGAGGCUCUCUGCAGAGAGUCACUCUGGCUGCUGGGGAGCUUGAUACCCUGAAUAUUACUCCUUCACUGGAGAUUUAUUUAUUUGAGAGAGAGAGAGAAUCUUAAGCAGACUCCAUGCUGAGUGUGGAC